AGUCUGUUGAUGGUUGUGCUCAUUUUUGAAUAUGUACAUGAAUUAUGAAUUAAUAAAAAUUAUUUUGGUAUUUUUCAUCCCAAAAUAUUUCAUCUUCUAAUGAACUCCUAUGUUGUGGUGAAGUCCUUAGGACUAUUUAGACUCGACAAAGGAGGAUUUGUCGUUUAGUCCUUAAAUCUGUUCAUGACCAAAUGAUAUGUUGUUAUCAAGGACGAUAAUAUUUAUCAAGCAUAGGUCGUUGUGUG
RNAcentral lists this long non-coding RNA (245 nucleotides) under Elaeis guineensis (African oil palm). RNAcentral describes it as "long non-coding RNA (EGUI_LNC058047)". Lineage: Eukaryota; Viridiplantae; Streptophyta; Magnoliopsida; Arecales; Arecaceae. The record is from RNAcentral.